Long non-coding RNA from Gallus gallus (chicken), 4928 nucleotides. RefSeq lists it as uncharacterized. The record is from RefSeq and is a predicted model, not a curated record. Lineage: Eukaryota; Metazoa; Chordata; Aves; Galliformes; Phasianidae. The transcript is spliced from 3 exons.
CCAAACAGAGCCAUGUUAUGUUGCCUUCCAGUACCUACUAGGCUCCCUACUGAGACAAGCUGUGUAAUUUUUGACUCUUCUCUCGCUUUAAUUCCAGGAGUUAAAAGUGAAAAUCUUUGGAGAAGAACCACUCUGACAAACAGGCUUCCUUCUCACAGCACGAUGGGAGAACACGGGACACGUGGACGUAAGAGAGCAGGUCAACGUCAUCUGUCUUGAUUUCAGAAGGGGUCUGGAGACUCCUUGUCGUUCCCAUAAGCAAGUCAGUCAAACGCGAUCCCAGUAAGCCACAUCAGGGUGAGCACGAAGCUGAAUUACCUCCCCAAGGGAACUGCCAGCUGUGUUCUUCUGCUUUACUCAGCACUGGGAAUGCCACAGCUGGCCUCUGUCCUGCCCUCAGUGACACUUUUCCAGAAGAGAGCAAUGCAAGUGCCCAGGGAUGCAGAAUUGUCAGCUAUGGAAAAGAAAGAAGCACCACAGCCCUUCCUAACCUAAAGGAGAAAGCAGUACAGAGGUAGGCUUUCAAAUUGUGAAGAUUGUUAUUAAAAAACACUGUGCCAUUUUUACUCUUUCAUUGGAAGCAAGCUGUGGGGUUGGGCAGUCAGAGAGGGAGCCCCAGCCCACUGCUAACCCUGCCAAGCCAUAUGAGCUGUGUUGGCUUGUUUGGGGUGGGUAUUCCCAAAUCCAGUAAAACGAGUUGCUUCUCCCCUACAUAUCUCACUGUAAUCAGUUCUGGUGAAACAUCAGAAGGCAGCAUUCAGAAUGUGAUCAAAUUGAAUAAUUUAAUAUCUUUGAGCGUGUUUACUGAGCCUCACCUCUUCCAUUUUAAGCACAGCACAUUGGCUAUAGGUUUCUCUCACAAUUACAGUAAUUUAUUUCACAAUAUCUGUAGCAGAUGCUGAGCUUGCUUCUAUUAUUAUCUGCCUUACGGGUUUUUCUGUGGGGAAUUUUUAGCUAUUGCAGCACGUCAGGAACAUGGGUUUUGUCUGUUCAAUCCAUGUUCCCACCCCAUGCCCCUAACUGGCAUCUCCAGCAUAAUACCACCUGUCCUGAAAGGGAGGGUUAUGGCUGCUAAAUUCAAGUUAAUGCCCUUUUCUUACCUGUGGCAAAUUUUUCUACUUCUUUUCUUGCUACUGAAUCAAAAACUCUGACUUCUUUGAUGUAGUCUUGUUGAGACAGGAGCUCUGUGAUCUUUUCCCCAAUAAAACCACAUCCUCCUGUCACCAGGUAGAUCUGGGCUCCAUCCAUUUCUGAGGACGUUUUUGUGGUUGAGGAGCAGAGAGAAGGCUGUGGCUGAGAUCCUAUCGCGCACUGUUGAUCUCAGCCAAUAUGUUUUCUGAUCUAAGUCUGAAGUCUAACCUUCACAGUGUUAGUGUUAUUGGCUGAACAUUAACUCCAUCCAGUUAUACAUAAGUCAGCUUUUUGCUGGCACAGCCAUAGUGGUGCUGCACACUGCUCUGGUCAUUCUGACUCAGCCUUUCCCUUCCACUCAGUGGUGUAGGAUCAGUGGGACACCUCCAGCUUGUCUUGGUCCUUGGCCAAUCUCAGCCCACAGUUGCCACACUGAGUGUUUUUCAUGGUCAGUUGGCACAGCUUGGACCUCUGGGGGCUGUGCAAAGAGUGCACGUCCUGGAGGUGUGCUCCGGGCAUCCCUCAUUUAGUAUGAAGCUACUAAAAAGCUAAUGAAUUUGUAUAGAUGGUGAAACAGCAGCAGAUCUACCCAGCGCUGUGCGGGACUGCACGUAAUGGAGGCAGGUUCAACAAUGGGCAUUUGUAAUGUCCAUGAUGGCAAUGGUAUGGCUUUGCUGAAUUAAUUCUGCCUGGAAUUGGAAUAUACGGACACACAUACACACAUACACAUAAUUAGGAGGAGAAAGUCCACUUAAUUUGAAAAAUGUGUAGUAGCAAAGGCUGUACCACAUCUUCUGGCAAAUUGUUGCAGUAAUUAAUCACUGUCAUUGUUAAGAGCGGACUGUUGUGUUUUAUUUAAUGGACAGUGCCUAAUAUACCUUUUCCUUGCUGAACUAUGGACAUGUGUUAUCCAGUUUGUCGUGUGGAUAAAAAAUGGGAUUGAAGGGUUAAGAUGGUUUAUUCAAAGGCUAUCAGUAUUUUGCCUGUGUGUGUUUUGGGGAUGGCUCCUGCUAGAAGUGCAAGCUGUUAACUCUGCCAUUGAUUUUCCUUGUGCUGUGUUAAGCACUGGGAAAAGAACCAUUUCCCCCAUGAUUACAGUCCCUGGCCACAAAGGCCCAGAGACCAGCACAGACCUGAUGUUAAUUGGUACUUGGCAGACCAGUGCAGCCACAAACGUCCCAAGAAAUUAAUUUGGCCUUUUAUCCAGCAACUCCCAAUCUGUAAGGUAGUGAUUAACAGCCCUGCCUUCCCUCAGGGGACAUGUGCAAGCAUAAAUAUAUCAGUUGGAGGUGUUUGGACACAAAAACAAGAUAAAUACACCCUGAAGGACCCGGAGCAGUGCUGCAUGGGAAUGUUUGGCAACAAGUUACCUUGAGCAUCUCCUGAUCAGCACUGCAAAAAAUUCUGCGUGAAGUCGAGGCCUUGACUCUGUGGACAUUUCUCAUUGUUUACAAUACUACAAUAGUGAUAUCUGCUUAUCUAUGGUGUGAUCUGAUCAGUGGGGAGAGAACUGGCUGUGAUUUACACAUCUCCUGUUUGUAAUAGGGAGCAAAAACAAGUUCAGAAACCAGACCCGUCACCUACGACACUUUGGGUUCUUUGCCAUCUCCUGCCAUGCUUGGCUAUGGGGACUUCCUUGAAAUGCAGGAUGUGCAAACUUUACGUUGCUUGAAGGCUUACCAAGGCUUCCUUCCCUUCUUUCCUUCCUUCCCUUCUUUCCUUCCUUCCCUUCUUUCCUUCCUUCCCUUCUUUCCUUCUUCCCCUUCUUUCCUUCAUUCCUUCCCUGCCCACACUUCCGUACAUACAGUGAGAGAAAGCUGAGAUGGCAGGAAAGAAAAACAGAUGCCUUAAUUUCAGGAUGCAUUCUGCUUGAACUUGCUCUGAACUUCGUAAAUACAGGACACCUGACAUCACACUCAUUUACAGUAUGUUUAUUUGUCAGUGCAUUACAUGAAAGGUCUUUGGUAUUUGUGGGUUCUUGAAUACUGUUCCCACUCUGCUCUGUACGAAAAUGCUGAAUACAAAACAUUCCAUAUACAGUAACAAAACCCAUAGCAAAUAAAGAGAAAUAGGUAUCUUGAACAAUAACAUAGCGAUAUGAAAACAGGUAAGUAACCAUGCAAGAGGUGGAACAGACAGGUUGUGUUUACAACAAACAUUAGAGCCUGCCAUAAAUUAACUCGUGUCACAAGAGGUUAUUUAUUCGUGAUCUAAGUUAAGAAACUACACGACUGCAAAAUACUGCCUGUGGCCGCCCUAUUAAAGACCAAAUGUUGUAUAGCUUAUUACAAUGGGACCAUUUGCACACAUACAAAACACACCGAUAUAAAUAAAAAGAUACUGUGUAAAAUAAGUAGUGAAAAAGUUAACAUUUCCUUCUACGGGUGGGAAUGUGCGCUGUGGACAGUUAUAGCACCUUUGAAUUGCCUGGUUUCAAAGCAAUCAUGGAAACUGCAAGUAGUUUAACCCCUAUACCACCAAGCAUGGAAUGUAAUCUCAAGCAGAAGCUGUAAACAUGGAAGAGAAAGAAUUUCCAAUAUAUUGUACUAACAAGUAAUUCCAGAAGCUGAUUGUCUUUUGGAAGCCUUUGUCACAGUGGUCAGGUUCAUUACAUUGAAACAGUUCAUUGCAGAGACUGGGAUUGAAACUGAACCCCAGAGCCAAACUUUCAGAAAGCCACAUGUGAGCCAUGUGCUCUGCUCCACUGCAAGCAGCACCAGUUCCUGUGAGCUGGAGACUUGGAUCUGCUUGUUAUGGUCUGUCCCUGUUCCUAUGGAAGGUGAUGGCAAAAUUACUGUGGAGUCUGGUGGGAGCAGACGAGGGUUCUUCUCUCUCAUUAAUUCUUUUUUCCCCAGGUUGCUAUCAAUUCUUUACAGUAAGUGCAAAUUGGAUACUCUGGAGAGAAGCAUUCUCCCCCUCCCAGGAGUACCAGAUUGCUGGUGAACGUCAGGGUGCACAAGUUGCAAAGAUUUUCAGUUGUGCAAUGUGCUUCUGGUUAGCUCAGGGCAAGGAAAAUGCAUUUCUACCACCAGAACUGAUCCAAGUUAAGAACACGCUGGCGUUCAAAGAAACAUGAAGAAUUACAAAGAAGUCUUAGGAAGAAAAGGAAAAGAACACACUAUGGUAUUGCACAGUAUGCAGGUAAGAUAAAGCACUAAACAUUUCAAUUAGAAUAUAUUUCUAAAUGAGCACGCAUCCAAAUAAAUCCACUCUCUAAGUUACACAGACAUGGCAAGAUGCGUAGAUGCCCUGGCUAAAUGAAUCUUAGUAUCCUGCCUAAGAUGGGGAACGUGGUUGGAGUGGUUGGCUUAGUCAUGAAUACCGUUAAUAGCUGAGUGUGAGGCUGUGUUCACCUUUACAGCAUACUUGUUUAAACUGGGACUGUACAAGAGUGUGGUCCAACCGUUGUGUAAGUAGUGAUGAACGAAGCUCCAGAUGAGAGGGAAAGUCCAGUUGGUUUAAUCCCACUGUAACCCAACUUAAAGAUACAGUACCACAUGAAAGAGAGAUACAGGUAACAAAGCAAGAAGUGUGGAGAGCAAAAGCUGACGUAGCUCUUAAAUCGAUUUGGAAAAGGCAAUAAUGAAAACUGCUGCAAGCCAAACCUAACCAAUCUUUUGACUGUUGGCUUGGCAGGAUUCAUUGGAAACAACUUCAAUUACAUUUCCUUUCAUCUUACCACUAAUUUGUUUUAAAUAAUUUCUUCAUUUAAAAUCCGAAUUCCUAGUCAAUAUAAAUGAAGAGAGUACUCAUUAAGCUAAUGCAAUAGCUUGGAAUUCAUAAGGGCAAACUCAGAG